AACUGAGAUAGAAUGAUUCUAUUUAUGUUAUGUGACUUUUAUUUCACAUCUAUUGAGCUAAAAAUGAUAAAAUGCCAGCAUCCUAACUACAUUUAAUUCAACGACUACGCGUCAACUAUAGACACAGCUGCUAAAAUGAGAAAGAAAAUGGAUUUAUUUACGUAUAUGACAUACCUAGCUGAUUGAUCGGUGUCAAGCAUUUUUCUCAGAAAAAACAUAGAGUUUGUUAAUGCAAUGUUUUAUUUUUAACUAGGGUAGGUCCGCCCUACGGACGGGUUAACAAAUGAACAAAUAAUAUAAAUAUAUUUAAAAUGUUUAACUUAUUUUCAACUUAAAUUAAAUUAAUUUUCAUGUUUUUUUAUUAAAACAAUUUAUCAAUUUAUUUGAAUAUUUAUUUGAAAAACCAUAAAUUUAUUUAUUUAUUAAAAGUUUAAUAGAAAAUUAU
Molecule: long non-coding RNA, 445 nt
Filed under: Brassica napus (rape)
Lineage: Eukaryota; Viridiplantae; Streptophyta; Magnoliopsida; Brassicales; Brassicaceae
Description: long non-coding RNA (BNAP_LNC016644)
Source: RNAcentral